GCAGGAGAGAUCCUACAACCUAACAGGCUAGUUAAACAGAAGAGUGAUGUAUACACACACAGAAUAAAAAUCUCAGCCCCACCAGCCCCACCAACCCCACCAAGAGUAACCCCACCAGGAGAAGUUCCAUAGAAAUUCCCCACCCUUCACAUGCCUCACAAAAAUAGGUGAAAGUAAUGCAUUAUAGAAGUCAACUGUCAUGGAUAGAAGUCAAAAUGGGACUGAUCCUCCAACUUCCUAAAAAAACUAUGACCCCUACCUUAAGUGGCUUUUCAUGGGAAGUUGAUGAUGAUCUUGAUCAUUGCACCAAAAUUAGCCAGGGUCCACUCCUCUUUCUCUUUCCCUACUUGCCUAUAUACAAGAACGGAAAUGUAGGCCAAAAAGCACUGUAGUUGCACUGUGAUACAACCAGUGGACUUCGGUGUGCACAGCUGGAGACAUGCCAUCUGACGGUAGGUUGUUCUGGCCAAAAAAAUGAUGCAGCAGUGCAGGAAGAGGAAUGGCGAUCUUACUGUGCCAGGUCAGAAACAAGCAGUCUUUUCAAACAGAAGUCAUUAGCUCAGAAUAUAGGGGAUUCUGAUCAAAAAGAAUUUUUCUUUGAACAGACACCACAGCAUAACAGCUCUGAUUUAGGCCCUUUCAAAGAGGUACAGUCCUUAAUCCCAAGCCAAACCACGCUCUAGCCAGCAGCCACAAAAAAAAAAAAAAAGAAAAAGGAAAAAGAGAAAAUCCCAACAAGGGCAAGACAUGGUAGUGUACAGCAAGUUUUACUACCCUUACAGAGUGGGUAAUCUCCGGCUGCAGCUUGGCCUUGCCUUAUAUACUUAUGUUGUGGACCUGUUUGAGGACCCCUAUUCUCCUGCACCAUGCCCCCUAAUUUCCUGGCCUCUUCUCCCUCUUCCCCCCCAUCCCCCAGCAGCACUGGGGUGCUUGGCAUAAGAGUGAGUGUGGUCCUGGGGGUGGGGUGGAGGCACGUUCUCAUCUUCUGAUUGGUUCCAAUGUGAAGCUUUAUUUGCAUGGGGAAAAGGAUAUAAGGCAGUGCUCCAGAAAGCAUUCCUCUGGUACUUGCAUGUUUCUUCAUUGUUGCAUAACAGGCAUCAGGGUUCUGGCAAUGAUAAAUGGCCUAUUUUUAAUUAUCCAAUUCCAAGUCCCUCUCCUAUGUAAUAUUUUGUCAUUACUCAAAACAGGUUUUUCUUUGAUCUGGCACUAUGUCCACAAUUUGUGUAUAUAGUCCCUGUAAAAGAAAGGAUAUUUUGAUAUUUGGCAUAUGAACUCCUUGGGACCACAGUCACAAUGCAAAUGAUUCCAUUUUGUGGUUGAGUGAAAGGAGCUCAGCUGAGGGGGGUUUUGUUAGCUCACGGCUCCUAGCCAGAACGUGGCAUAGUGCAGCAGGCUCAGCUGUGCUGCAUAUAGGGACUCAGCUAGGCUGGGGUGAGGCCAAAGCAUCUUAUCUUCAGCAUCUGGACAGGCGUUUCCCCAACAAGUGACCCAGGCCCACACAGAGCAAUUCUGUCUGUUCAGUAUGGUGGCAUCAGCCGUGAGUAGCUGUCGAGCCCUUGAAAUGUGGCUGGUGCUACAAGUUUAAAUGGCAGUAUUUUUCAGGUGUUGAAUACCAUAAAAUAUAUUAUCAAUAUUAAUUUCAGCUGAGAUUCUUUUUCUUUCCUUUUGAUAUUUGGCUACUUGGAAAUUAGGAAUUACACUUGUGGCUUGCAUUCUCUUUCUGCCAGCACAGGUUAGUAGCAUGCCUUACUGGCGUCUGGGACCAGCUUCCUUAUUUUGUGCCCCCUGACCACCCCACCAAGUCCCUCCUGCUCCUUCCUCAUCACCCCAUCCUCGUGUUUUCAGAUGGAGCCCUGACCUGAAGACAAGUUUCCUGGGGUAGGCUAAAAAGGCUCUUCUCUGGCUGGACAAAGAGACAUGUUAAAACCCUGGUCAUCUCACCUUCCGGCCCCAGGGUGGAGAUCAGCCCACCUCUCCGAGAGACUGGGCUUUCAGGGGACCCCACAACUGAUAUAUGAUUCAUCACAGUUCCCCGAUGUUGGCACCGGAGCACCCAGGCAAGACAUGGUGCCUCAGGAAGGAGAAUGUACCUGGCCAGGGCCUGGUGGGUUUCCUGCUGGUUCCCAGGUUCCCAGGGUCCAGCAGCUGACCCCAAACCUCAAGGCCAGUGUGGCUCAGUGUAGACCCAGUCCCCUGAAAUAGCAUCUGGGGUACACUUUCCUAAAAAGCUGGAUUCUUACCGGAAGUGCCCGGGAAGAGUGUUACUCUUACUAUUGAACAUUCCUUGCUGACCUCAGAUGUAUGGACAGUAUGGACAGUCCUGAGGCUGUCAGGGUGUGCUGUCACCUGAAACACCUGGUAGGUUCCACAACAAAAUGUAACUCCCCAGGGUGGGGUCAGUGCUUUCCCAGAAGAUGGGAAACAGCUCUGAUUUAAACCACCAGCCAGCAACCUCCACAAUGCUCUGCAUUCUGAGGCAAAAUGCACACACCGUACAAUUCAGCCAUUUAACGUGUGCAAUGAAUGGCUUUUGUUUUUUGUUUGUUUGUUUGUUUUUUGGCACACUUGCGGAUUGUACGACAAUCACCACCAUCAAUUUUGGAACAUUUCUGAUCCCCCUGAAAUAAACCUUGUACCUGUUAGCAGUUGCCCGCUCUCAGCCCCCCUCCUCUUUCUCAUCUGUUUUCUGUCUCUGUGGAUUUGCCUAUUCAGAGCAUCUCAUGUCAACAGAACCACACAAUAUGAUGUCUUGUGUCUGGCUUCCUUCACUGAGCAUCAUGUUUCCAGGGCUCACACAUGUGGUAGCCUGUGUCAACGAUUCAUUACUUUUUGUGGCAGAAUAAGAUUCUGUUGCAUGGAUAGACCCCAUUUGAUUUGCCUGGCCCUUGGUUGGUGAACAUUUAGGUGAUUUCUCCUUUGGGACUAUUAGGAAGAAUGCUGCAGUGGACAUUGUAGUCCAAGUUUUUGUGUGGACUUAGGUUCUUAUCAGUUUUGGUCUGUGCCUUUGAGUAGAAUCAUGUCUCUUGGGUCAUGUGGCAGCUCUGCAUAACUUCUCUUUUUUUUUUUUCCCACAAUGUGCUUUUUAAAAUAAAAAGAGGAGUUCCUGCUGUGGCACCACUGAAUUGGUAGUGUCUCCACAGCCAUAGGACACAGGUUCCAUCCUGGGCCCUGCACAGUGGGUUGAAGGAUCUGGCAUUGCUGAAGCUGUGGUGUAGGUAAAGCUGCAUCUCAGAUCUAAUCCCUGGGCCAGGAGCUCCACAUGCCAUGGGUCAUCCAAAAAACAAAAGAAAAAA
This 3293-nucleotide long non-coding RNA is filed under the name Sus scrofa (pig). Its description in RNAcentral is "lncRNA (ENSSSCG00015066274.1)". Lineage: Eukaryota; Metazoa; Chordata; Mammalia; Artiodactyla; Suidae. The record is from RNAcentral.